UGGGGAAUUUUGGACAAUGGGGGAAACCCUGAUCCAGCCAUCCCGCGUGUGCGAUGAAGGCCUUCGGGUUGUAAAGCACUUUUGGCAGGAAAGAAACGUCGCGGGUUAAUACCCCGCGAAACUGACGGUACCUGCAGAAUAAGCACCGGCUAACUACGUGCCAGCAGCCGCGGUAAUACGUAGGGUGCAAGCGUUAAUCGGAAUUACUGGGCGUAAAGCGUGCGCAGGCGGUUCGGAAAGAAAGAUGUGAAAUCCCAGAGCUUAACUUUGGGAACUGCAUUUUUUAACUACCGGGCUAGAGUGUGUCAGAGGGAGGUGGAAUUCCGCGUGUAGCAGUGAAAUGCGUAGAUAUGCGGAGGAACACCGAUGGCGAAGGCAGCCUCCUGGGAUAACACUGACGCUCAUGCACGAAAGCGUGGGGAGCAAACAGGAUUAGAUACCCUGGUAGUCCACGCCCUAAACGAUGUCAACUAGCUGUUGGGGCCUUCGGGCCUUGGUAGCGCAGCUAACGCGUGAAGUUGACCGCCUGGGGAGUACGGUCGCAAGAUUAAAACUCAAAUGAAUU
RNAcentral lists this ribosomal RNA (565 nucleotides) under uncultured bacterium. RNAcentral describes it as "partial 16S ribosomal RNA". It matches the Rfam family "Bacterial small subunit ribosomal RNA", at positions 355 to 911 of the family's 1533-position model. The record is from RNAcentral.